This 68-nucleotide transfer RNA is filed under the name marine eukaryotic metagenome. It matches the Rfam family "tRNA". Rfam says of the family: Transfer RNA (tRNA) molecules are approximately 80 nucleotides in length. Their secondary structure includes four short double-helical elements and three loops (D, anti-codon, and T loops). The record is from RNAcentral.
CCAGUAGCUCAGUGGUAGAGCACCUGUUUUGCAAUCAGGAGGUCAAGGGUCCAAUUCCCUUCUGGUCC